Molecule: non-coding RNA, 48 nt
Filed under: Trypanosoma brucei brucei
Lineage: Eukaryota; Euglenozoa; Kinetoplastea; Trypanosomatida; Trypanosomatidae
Source: RNAcentral
AAUCAAACAAACAAGAUGAUAGAAAAUCAGAGGUUAAUGUUAUAUAAG